GUGAACCUGCGGAAGGAUCAUUAUUGAAUACUACUCGAUGGGUUGUAGCUGGCUCCCCUGGAGCAUGUGCACACUUGUCUUGAUUCUAUUCAUCCACCUGUGCAUCAUUUGUAGUCCCUGAGGGCUGAGAGCGGCUGUUGACAUCAUCUGACUAGAUGGACGAGAGGAUUGCGAGCGCGCAAGUGCAGCUUUCUUCAGCAACAUGCCAUGACCUCCCUUGGGGUCUAUGUUUCUUUCAUAAACCAUGUAGUAUGUUGACGAAUGUAAUCAAUAGGCCUUUGUGUCUAUAGAAUCUUAUACAACUUUCAGCAACGGAUCUCUUGGCUCUCGCAUCGAUGAAGAACGCAGCGAAAUGCGAUAAGUAAUGUGAAUUGCAGAAUUCAGUGAAUCAUCGAAUCUUUGAACGCACCUUGCGCUCCUUGGUAUUCCGAGGAGCAUGCCUGUUUGAGUGUCAGUAAAUUCUCAAUCCCCACUAGCUUUUGCAGUUGGGGCUUGGAUAGUGGAGGUAUUUGCAGGCCCUUUCUUGAAAGGUGUCAGCUCCUCUGAAAUGUAUUAGCGGAACCGUUUGCAAUCCGUCACAGGUGUGAUAGUUAUCUACACCCAGUGGGUUGCUUUCUGAUUGUUCAGCUUCCAAUCGUCCUUGUUGUGGGACAACUACUGAAAUUUUGACCUCAAAUCAGGUAGGACUACCCG
This 693-nucleotide ribosomal RNA is filed under the name Leucocoprinus subvolvatus. RNAcentral's name for it is "eukaryotic LSU rRNA". The stretch from base 301 to 454 matches the Rfam family "5.8S ribosomal RNA". Lineage: Eukaryota; Fungi; Basidiomycota; Agaricomycetes; Agaricales; Agaricaceae. The record is from RNAcentral.